Molecule: ribosomal RNA, 263 nt
Filed under: uncultured Klebsiella sp.
Lineage: Bacteria; Pseudomonadati; Pseudomonadota; Gammaproteobacteria; Enterobacterales; Enterobacteriaceae
Description: partial 16S ribosomal RNA
Rfam family: Bacterial small subunit ribosomal RNA
Source: RNAcentral
CGCAGCAUGGGCGCAGCCUGAUGCAGCCAUGCCGCGUGUGUGAUGAAGGCCUUCGGGUUGUAAAGCUCUUUCAGCGGGGAGGAAGGCGCUUAGGUUAAUAACCUUGGCCAUUGACGUUACCCGCAGAAGAAGCACCGGCUUACUCCGUGCCUACAGCCGCGGUAAUAAGGAGGGUGCAAGCGUUAAUCGGAAUUACUGGGCGUAAAGCGCACGCAGGCGGUCUGUCAAGUCGGAUGUGAAAUCCCCGGGCUUAACCUGGGAAC